This is a long non-coding RNA of Cyanistes caeruleus (blue tit), 579 nucleotides long. Lineage: Eukaryota; Metazoa; Chordata; Aves; Passeriformes; Paridae. The record is from Ensembl.
CAAGAGCCCUGUCCAAGUGCCGACUCUGCUGCAGUCCUGACAUCCUGUGCUGUGUAACCAAGACUCUUGCAUGCUUUGCAUUUUGCACAGCUGCCUGAAGUCAAGGUCUGGCUCCUUCUACAACCUGUGGAAAACACUUGGCAUAUUUUGUGUUGAACGUUCAUGCUGCUCUCAAAGCUUUACACAGCAGAGGGACAUGGAGUUUUGUGAAGAAAAAGCUGGCUGUCAUGCUGCAAACUCCACCAGAAAGGCUUUGGACAAGCAAACACUGACUGAGAAAAGGACUCCAACAUUAACACUUUCUGUGUCAGCACUUCUGGAGAGAGGACAAAAAGACAAACAGACUUCUUCAGAUAUAAUGAAGAAAACAGGAAAAUCUGUGUCAAUGUCUGCUGUGAAAAAUUCUCCAGGAAAGUUUGGACCACAAGCGGACAACAGAAAAAAAGAGUGACUGGUUGACAAGGACGUGUUAAGGCUUCCUUCUGACACGUUAUGGAGGAUCUUAAGCAACACAAUUUUUCAGCACCACUUCCCCCCGGAAUGUUACAGCUACCAAUAAAAUAAGCAAGCUGCAAUUCA